CCCACCCGACCCAAAAGCCCAGCCGGCUUCACCUCUCAAUAGAAUCAAAAGCAGUAAAGUUCAGAGCUGGGUGGUCAUAUAUGAAUCACUUAACCUUUCUUUCUUUUUUCCUUAAAAUAGAGAUGGGGUCUGCUAUGCUGCCCUGGCUGGUUUUAAACUCCUGGGCUCAAGUGAUCCUCCCACCUCGGCCUCCCAAAGUGCUCAGAUUACAGGCCUGAGCCACCGCUCCCGGCCUGAAUCAGUUAACCUUUCUGGGCAUUCAUAUCAUUGACUAUAAAAUGGGGGUAGUGUUAGUUUAUGCUUCCCAGAUUGCAGAUGAGAAUCUAAAUAUCUGCCCACAACCCCCAAUGGGAGGUACAGGAGCCAACCAAGCAAGCCAUGGUCAGGAUCUGGUUCCUGGAGGCUGGAAUCCGGGGAAGCCAGAGAGGAGAGAGCCAGAAGGUGAGUGAGUAUCCAUAUUCUUCAACAGCACAGUCCAGUGUUAAGACAGGGCAUGAGGACCAGCUCCACUGGAAACACCAGCCAGCGUCUUAACCGGGGAGGAAGGAAGGUGUGUGCUGGGCAAGUGGGGCAUGUGACAAAGUGGAACUGAAGUGGCCGUCGCUUGCCUUUAGGCCAGCAGGUUCCUCAGCAGCCUUUGCUCAUAGGCUGGCUUAACUAUGAUCCUGCUGUGGGAAGAUAAAAAAACUGACCGAAGGAGAUAGGCUGAGUAAUGGCUCCCUCAAGAUGUCCAUAUUUCAUCCCUGGAACCUGUGAAUACAUUUCUUUAUGUGGCAAAAGGGACUUUGUGGCUGUGAUUAAACUAAGAACCUUGAAAUGAGGAGAUUCUCCGGGAUCGUCCAGAUGCAUCAAAUGUAACAAGAAGGAGUCAGAGUCAGGCUGGAAGCCGCUAUGCUGCUGGCUUUGAAGGCAGAUGAAGGGGCCAAGGAAUUAGGGUGGUCUCUAGAAUCUGGAAAAGGCAAUGAAAUUGAUUCUCCCCUAGAGCUUUCAGAAGGAAUGCAGCCUUGCCCACACCUUCAUUUUAGACCAGUGAAACUGAUUUUAGACUUCUGACUGCCAGAACUGUAAGAUAAUAAAUGUAUAUUGUUUGAAGCUACUAGGUUUGUGGUCAUUUGUUACAUCAGCAACAG
RNAcentral lists this long non-coding RNA (1130 nucleotides) under Homo sapiens (human). Its description in RNAcentral is "HSALNT0221275". Lineage: Eukaryota; Metazoa; Chordata; Mammalia; Primates; Hominidae. The record is from RNAcentral.